UCCCAACCUUGAAAUCAGUUUUUACUUAACUUACACAUGCAAGUCUCCGCACACCCGUGAAAACGCCCUUCCCACCCUACAGGAAUAAGGAGCUGAUAUCAGGCAUAUAUCCCCAAAACAUCUAGCCACGCCACACCCACAAGGGCCCUCAGCAGUGAUUAACAUUAAAAAUAAACGUCAGUUUGACUUAGUCAAAUGAAAACAGAGCCGGCCAAUCUGGUGCCAGCCGCCGCGGUUACACCAUGUGGCUCAAAUUGAUCUCAACACGGCGUAAAGCGUGAUUAAAGAAACAUACCUCUGGGGGUCAAACUAAAACUAAGCUGUAGUACGCCUGUUUUUAAGAAGUCCUAUUUCGAAAGAUACCCCAAUUCACCAACUUGAACUCACAACAACUAGAAUACAAACUGGGAUUAGAUACCCCACUAUGCCUAGUCAUAAACUUUAACUUACACCUCAAUCGCCAGGGAACUACGAGCAAAGCUUAAAACCCAAAGGACUUGACGGUACCCCAUAUCCCCCUAGAGGAGCCUGUCCUAUAACCGAUACCCCCCGUUCAACCUCACCAUUUUUAGUUUCCCAGCCUGUAUACUUCCGUCGCCAGCUUACCGUGUGAACGAAUUCAGUAAGCCCAAUGUAAAUCACCAAAACGUCA
This 652-nucleotide ribosomal RNA is filed under the name Pristimantis samaniegoi. RNAcentral's name for it is "partial small subunit ribosomal RNA". It matches the Rfam family "Bacterial small subunit ribosomal RNA", at positions 17 to 1187 of the family's 1533-position model. The record is from RNAcentral. Lineage: Eukaryota; Metazoa; Chordata; Amphibia; Anura; Strabomantidae.